GGGAAACUGCCCGAUGGAGGGGGAUAACUACUGGAAACGGUAGCUAAUACCGCAUAACGUCGCAAGACCAAAGUGGGGGACCUUCGGGCCUCACACCAUCGGAUGUGCCCAGAUGGGAUUAGCUAGUAGGUGGGGUAAUGGCUCACCUAGGCGACGAUCCCUAGCUGGUCUGAGAGGAUGACCAGCCACACUGGAACUGAGACACGGUCCAGACUCCUACGGGAGGCAGCAGUGGGGAAUAUUGCACAAUGGGCGCAAGCCUGAUGCAGCCAUGCCGCGUGUAUGAAGAAGGCCUUCGGGUUGUAAAGUACUUUCAGCGGGGAGGAAGGCGGUGAAGUUAAUAGCUUCACCGAUUGACGUUACCCGCAGAAGAAGCACCGGCUAACUCCGUGCCAGCAGCCGCGGUAAUACGGAGGGUGCAAGCGUUAAUCGGAAUUACUGGGCGUAAAGCGCACGCAGGCGGUCUGUCAAGUCGGAUGUGAAAUCCCCGGGCUUAACCUGGGAACUGCAUUCGAAACUGGCAGGCUAGAGUCUUGUAGAGGGGGGUAGAAUUCCAGGC
RNAcentral lists this ribosomal RNA (559 nucleotides) under uncultured bacterium. RNAcentral's name for it is "bacterial SSU rRNA". It matches the Rfam family "Bacterial small subunit ribosomal RNA", at positions 120 to 674 of the family's 1533-position model. The record is from RNAcentral.